This is a non-coding RNA of Caenorhabditis elegans, 198 nucleotides long. NCBI's taxonomy places the organism in Eukaryota, Metazoa, Nematoda, Chromadorea, Rhabditida, Rhabditidae. The record is from Ensembl.
GAUUAUUGGUCCAUGUGAGAGCAAGUUGACGAGACAAUUCUACAAAUUAUGUUGCUUUUGUGCUUUGCAAUGAAAAAAGCUAUGUAAAUAAAGUGCCACUCCUUCGCCGCGGCGACAGAAAAUCAAUAAAAGAAGGCUGGGCGCAUGUGUGAAUCUCGUGGAUGAGAGAAUACGGUAAUUGGCGGAAGAGGAGCGUUU